RNAcentral lists this unclassified non-coding RNA (295 nucleotides) under uncultured fungus. Its description in RNAcentral is "sequence contains ITS2". The stretch from base 1 to 52 matches the Rfam family "5.8S ribosomal RNA", at positions 103 to 154 of the family's 154-position model. Lineage: Eukaryota; Fungi. The record is from RNAcentral.
AACGCACAUUGCGCCUUCUGGUAUUCCGGUAGGCAUGUCUGUCUGAGCGUCAGCAAACACCCCUCAGCUGAAUCUUUUGUUAGGUUCACGCUGGUCUUGGGCGCGGAUGUUGGAGGGUAACCUCCCACGCCAGCCCUAAACUUGCUGCACGACCGCUGGCUUCGGCUGGGUCAAUGGAGUGGUGUCACAAUCUUCCAGAAGGCCUUCUAGAGCUCGGUGGCGUUAAACCUGCUGUUACCCUUGUGGUGACCGAAGUUUUGACCUCAGAUCAGAUAAGGAUACCCGCUGAACUUAA